This 427-nucleotide ribosomal RNA is filed under the name uncultured bacterium. Its description in RNAcentral is "bacterial SSU rRNA". It matches the Rfam family "Bacterial small subunit ribosomal RNA", at positions 917 to 1341 of the family's 1533-position model. The record is from RNAcentral.
GGGCCCGCACAAGCGGUGGAGCAUGUGGUUUAAUUCGACGCAACGCGAAGAACCUUACCAGCCCUUGACAUGGGCGUCGCGGAUCGCAGAGAUGCUUUCCUUCAGUUCGGCUGGACGCCACACAGGUGCUGCAUGGCUGUCGUCAGCUCGUGUCGUGAGAUGUUGGGUUAAGUCCCGCAACGAGCGCAACCCUCAUCCUUAGUUGCCAUCAGUUCGGCUGGGCACUCUAGGGAAACUGCCGGUGACAAGCCGGAGGAAGGUGGGGAUGACGUCAAGUCCUCAUGGCCCUUACGGGCUGGGCUACACACGUGCUACAAUGGCGAUGACAGAGGGAUGCAAGGGGGCGACCCUGAGCUAAUCUCCAAAAAUCGUCUCAGUUCGGAUUGUUCUCUGCAACUCGAGAGCAUGAAGGCGGAAUCGCUAGUAA